CCUACGGUAGGCAGCAGUGGGGAAUAUUGGACAAUGGGGGGAACCCUGAUCCAGCGACGCCGCGUGAGUGAAGAAGUAUUUCGGUAUGUAAAGCUCUAUCAGCAGGGAAGAAAGAAAUGACGGUACCUGACUAAGAAGCCCCGGCUAACUACGUGCCAGCAGCCGCGGUAAUACGUAGGGGGCAAGCGUUAUCCGGAUUUACUGGGUGUAAAGGGAGCGUAGACGGCGAUGCAAGUCUGAAGUGAAAGGCGGGGGCGCAACCUCCGGACUGCUUUGGAAACUGUAUGGCUGGAGUGCAGGAGAGGUAAGUGGAAUUCCUAGGGGAGCGGUGAAAUGCGUAGAUAUUAGGAGGAACACCAGUGGCGAAGGCGGCUUACUGGACUGUAACUGACGUUGAGGCUCGAAAGCGUGGGGAGCAAACAGGAUUAGAUACCCGGGUAGUC
RNAcentral lists this ribosomal RNA (443 nucleotides) under uncultured bacterium. RNAcentral's name for it is "partial 16S ribosomal RNA". It matches the Rfam family "Bacterial small subunit ribosomal RNA", at positions 338 to 795 of the family's 1533-position model. The record is from RNAcentral.